GCCGGGAUAGCUCAGCUGGGAGAGCAAUAGACUGAAGAGAUUUAUAUUGGAUUCUGGAGGUCGCGUGUUCAAUCCACGCUCCUGGCA
Trametes meyenii is the source of this 87-nucleotide non-coding RNA. The record is from the annotation of a GenBank genome assembly. Lineage: Eukaryota; Fungi; Basidiomycota; Agaricomycetes; Polyporales; Polyporaceae.